This 492-nucleotide ribosomal RNA is filed under the name uncultured bacterium. Its description in RNAcentral is "partial 16S ribosomal RNA". It matches the Rfam family "Bacterial small subunit ribosomal RNA", at positions 29 to 507 of the family's 1533-position model. The record is from RNAcentral.
AGUGAACGCUGGCGGUAGGCCUAACACAUGCAAGUCGAACGGCAGCACAGUAAGAGCUUGCUCUUACGGGUGGCGAGUGGCGGACGGGUGAGGAAUACAUCGGAAUCUACUUUUUCGUGGGGGAUAACGUAGGGAAACUUACGCUAAUACCGCAUACGACCUACGGGUGAAAGCAGGGGAUCUUCGGACCUUGCGCGAUUGAAUGAGCCGAUGUCGGAUUAGCUAGUUGGCGGGGUAAAGGCCCACCAAGGCGACGAUCCGUAGCUGGUCUGAGAGGAUGAUCAGCCACACUGGACCUGAGCCACGGUCCAGACUCCUACGGGAGGCAGCAGUGGGGAAUAUUGGACAAUGGGCGCAAGCCUGAUCCAGCCAUACCGCGUGGGUGAAGAAGGCCUUCGGGUUGUAAAGCCCUUUUGUUGGGAAAGAAAAGCAGCAGGUUAAUACCCCGCUGUUCUGACGGUACCCAAAGAAUAAGCACCGGCUAACUUCGUG